GACGAGCGCUGGCGGCGUGCUUUAGGCAUGCAAGUCGAACGCGAAAGCCCCUUCGGGGGUGAGUAGAGUGGCGAACGGGUGAGUAACACGUGGGUAACCUGCCCCUCGCAGGGGGAUAACCGGGGGAAACCCCGGCUAAUACCCCGUACGCUUGCUGGGGCGCAUGCUCCGGCAAGGAAAGGUAGCUUCGGCCAUCCGGCGAGGGAGGGGCCCGCGGCCCAUUAGCUAGUUGGUGGGGUAACGGCCCACCAAGGCGACGAUGGGUAGCUGGCCUGAGAGGGUGGUCAGCCACACUGGGGAUGAGACACGGACCAGGCUCCUACGGGAGGCAGCAGCCAGGAAUCUUGCGCAAUGGGAGAAAGCCUGACGCAGCAACGCCGCGUGGGCGAUGAAGGCCUUCGGGUCGUAAAGCCCUGUUGUCGGGGACGAAGGGCGAAGGGUUAAUAGCCCCUAGCCUGACGGUACCCGACGAGGAAGCCCCGGCUAACUACGUG
RNAcentral lists this ribosomal RNA (494 nucleotides) under uncultured bacterium. Its description in RNAcentral is "partial 16S ribosomal RNA". It matches the Rfam family "Bacterial small subunit ribosomal RNA", at positions 28 to 507 of the family's 1533-position model. The record is from RNAcentral.